GACGAACGCUGGCAGCGUGCUUAACACAUGCAAGUCGAACGGAAAGGCCCUGCUUUUGUGGGGUGCUCGAGUGGCGAACGGGUGAGUAACACGUGAGUAACCUGCCCUUGACUUUGGGAUAACUUCAGGAAACUGGGGCUAAUACCGGAUAGGAGCUCCUGCUGCAUGGUGGGGGUUGGAAAGUUUCGGCGGUUGGGGAUGGACUCGCGGCUUAUCAGCUUGUUGGUGGGGUAGUGGCUUACCAAGGCUUUGACGGGUAGCCGGCCUGAGAGGGUGACCGGCCACAUUGGGACUGAGAUACGGCCCAGACUCCUACGGGAGGCAGCAGUGGGGAAUACUGCACAAUGGGCGGAAGCCUGAUGCAGCAACGCCGCGUGCGGGAUGACGGCCUUCGGGUUGUAAACCGCUUUCGCCUGUGACGAAGCGUGAGUGACGGUAAUGGGUAAAGAAGCACCGGCUAACUACGUG
RNAcentral lists this ribosomal RNA (468 nucleotides) under uncultured bacterium. Its description in RNAcentral is "partial 16S ribosomal RNA". It matches the Rfam family "Bacterial small subunit ribosomal RNA", at positions 28 to 507 of the family's 1533-position model. The record is from RNAcentral.